This 711-nucleotide ribosomal RNA is filed under the name uncultured bacterium. Its description in RNAcentral is "bacterial SSU rRNA". It matches the Rfam family "Bacterial small subunit ribosomal RNA", at positions 128 to 881 of the family's 1533-position model. The record is from RNAcentral.
GCCCUUCACUACGGAAUAGCCUCUGGAAACGGAGAGUAAUACCGUAUGCGCCCUUCGGGGAAAGAUUUAUCGGUGAAGGAUUAGCCCGCGUCUGAUUAGAUAGUUGGUGGGGUAACGGCCUACCAAGUCGACGAUCAGUAGCUGGUUUGAGAGGAUGAUCAGCAACACUGGGACUGAGACACGGCCCAGACUCCUACGGGAGGCAGCAGUGGGGAAUCUUAGACAAUGGGCGCAAGUGAUCUAGCCAUGCCGCGUGAGUGACGAAGGCCUUAGGGUCGUAAAGCUCUUUCGCCAGGGAUGAUAAUGACAGUACCUGGUAAAGAAACCCCGGCUAACUCCGUGCCAGCAGCCGCGGUAAUACGGAGGGGGUUAGCGUUGUUCGGAAUUACUGGGCGUAAAGCGCGCGUAGGGGAUUGGAAAGUUGGGGGUGAAAUCCCGGGGCUCAACCCCGAACUGCCUCCAAAACUAUCAGUCUAGAGUUCGAGAGAGGUGAGUGGAAUUCCAAGUGUAGAGGUGAAAUUCGUAGAUAUUUGGAGGAACACCAGUGGCGAAGGGGCUCACUGGCUCGAUACUGACGCUGAGGUGCGAAAGUGUGGGGAGCAAACAGGAUUAGAUACCCUGGUAGUCCACACCGUAAACGAUGAAUGCCAGACGUCGGGGGGCUUGCCUUCGGUGUCACACCUAACGGAUUAAGCAUUCCGCCUGGGGAGU